UCUCCAGAGGUGGACAGAGUUCGCUGCCUCGCCUCAGACAUCCUGACACCAUCACCUGUGGCAGGGGACACCGGUCAGACCCGGGUCCACCAGUCAGACCCGGGUCUGACCCGUGAAGAGGACUCACCCGAGUCCUGCACAGACAGGUGACCCCUCAGACCUGACGGGCUCAGUGUUCCUGUCACUUCCUCAGAAACCAAUCAGCUCUCAGCUCUGAUGAUCAGUUGAUUAAUUUGACGAUGGACAGAAACGAUCGAUCACUUAAGUCUGUUUAAACAGAUGCUCUGGUUCCAGUUUCCCACUUUUCUCUGACAGUGAACUCAACAUAUUGUGUGUGUGGCAUAAGAACAUGAUCCAUCGAUUAUCAAAGGCAAGUUUUGAUAACGUGUGACCGUUGGGAUCACACGUCUGUUCGUUACUGAAGAACAGAAGAACCCACAAGACCAGGAACAGAACCAGAGCCAGACCCCUCUACAGAACCAGAACCUUCUACAGAACCAGAACCUUCUACAGAACCAGACCCCUCUACAGAACCAGAACCCUCUACAGAACCAGAACAAGAACCUUCUACAGAACCAGAACUAGAGAAUAUUUUUACUACCCUGAGUAAAUUGACUUUAUUUAAACUCUGCUGAGGAAACGAGUCCUUCAGCAGCAGACAGACAGCUUGUUCCUGCCAACGCCUCUGAUCCCAGGUUUUCAUUGGACGAAGGACACAUGAUUUAUAUGAUGAUGUCACACAGGUCAAUAAGACAUUUGUUCACCUGUAAAAGAAGUUUGAGGUUGAAGAGUCGUUACCUGUUGAAGCCUCAGAGUCCGGUCGGUCGUCGCCUGUUCAGGAGUCGGAGCUCAGACGAUCUGACCGUCGCCAUCAAACAUUCAGCAGCAGCUCCGGUGACGGAGCCGCCACGCCUGCUCGGGUUUCACUGAGACGCUUUGUGAUGGGGAGGGGAGGUAACCAUGACAACCAGCUCUGCUGCAGGAGACAUGAGACGGGUUCAACCAAUCACACGGGCAUCUGCAGCUGAGAGUAUUCGUCCUGCCCCUCCUUCUCGUCCAGGUGAACACACGGGGCAGCAGCAGAAUCCUCACAGGUAUCGUCAGCAGCAACACGAAGGGGAACGCUAACGCAGCUGCCGUCGACAUGACGACCCACAGGAGAGACAGACAGGUGUCCUCCACGCUGUAGUCCACCAACACCAUGAUGAGGAUCGCGAUGGGGACCCCGAAGUCUCCGAUGAUCCUUCGGAGCUAAAGCCAGAAAGGAGGAGGACUCAUGUUUAGACUCAAGGUGCACAACCUGCAUGUACCUGUACACACAGUAACUGUACAUGUACACAUGUAUACAGUACAGUAUUUGUGCCAAUAUCUACAUGUGUGCACCAGUGCCUGUUCCUGUAUGUAUCUCUAUAACCAGUAUAAAUUUGUAUACUACUGUACCUCCUGUAUAUAUACUUGUUUUCACCCAAAUGUACCUGUAUGUGUGUGUGUACU
Molecule: long non-coding RNA, 1494 nt
Organism: Scophthalmus maximus (turbot)
Lineage: Eukaryota; Metazoa; Chordata; Actinopteri; Pleuronectiformes; Scophthalmidae
Exons: 4
Source: RefSeq, a predicted model, not a curated record